GCCCAGCUCACACGCUGCUUCUUCCUGGAUCACUGACCUCCUUGUUUUGACCUGUCUGUCCAUCGUCCAGCAGGUGGGACGUCCCCGAUGGAAACCCCCCAACGAUGGAAGCUCCAAGGAUAGAGACCCUCAGUAAAAAGAGCUCCAGAUGGAGACCUGGGAUAGCAACUCUUCAGGGUAGAAACCCCUUCAAGGAGCCAAAUGAAACUACUUCAGGAACUUGGACUAUUUUGUCCUGAAAGACUUUCUCCCCACACAAAUCCCGCAGUGCAUGUGAAGAGCCAGUUUUCCCUCAGGAACUCUUUUCUCUUCUCCUUUCUUGCUGUGCGAACUGUGUCCUCUCUCUCUCUCCGCUGGCUGCUGGGAAGCUCGGAACCAGAUUGAGCCUCAUCCCUUAGCAACAAAUCCUUGUCCAUUCAUAUUCUGUGUUUUCAACUGUAAUGAGCGUUAGUUACCUGGUACCAUUUUUACCCCUUACUUAUUCUAUUUAAUUUUGUUUGAAUUCUUUUUUGAAAGCCUCCUGAAAUUCUUAUGGACUCCUAGGGGAUAAAACAAAUAAAUAGAAAGUGACUUGGUUGUAAAUGUUGGACUCUGAACUUGAUCUUGACACAGCUCUGUGUUUGUUUCAUCUAGAAGGGCUUCCGGCGGGAAGUACACCAAAGUUGUGUCUUGUAGGAGGGGCAGACUACAGUUAGCAGAGGCCUUGGGAGGUAAGAGCUUGCCUGGGCCUUUGCUUUCUCUGACUCUCUAGCCCUGAGUGAUUUUGUAGGAGACCUAGUCUCUCCCCAUAUUCAAAUUCAACAAGCAUUUUCUUAGCAGGGUGGACACAGAGAUGAAAAGACCCAGCCAGGCCUUGCUCUUUGGGUCCAUCAUCUACUGAGACAUAAAAACAACCUUCUAGAAUACAGUGAUUUGAAUAAAUGUUAGCCUCUGGGAUAGCUCUCCAUGACCAACAGAAUCAAGCCUGAAUGCUUUAGACUGACAUUCACCACAUGGCACCACAUGUGACAUGGCGCCACAGCUGGAUUCUACCCAGCCUAUACAGCUCCAGUUCUCAGCACCUGCAAAAGGUAGCCUAUACGAUGUAGUUUUGUGGCUCC
Molecule: long non-coding RNA, 1100 nt
Organism: Rhinolophus ferrumequinum (greater horseshoe bat)
Lineage: Eukaryota; Metazoa; Chordata; Mammalia; Chiroptera; Rhinolophidae
Exons: 3
Source: RefSeq, a predicted model, not a curated record